CCACUCUCCUGCCUGGGCUGCUGCUCAACGGGGGCUGGGGGUGUGUGGGGCGGGGGUGGUCUGUCCAGUGAUUCAGCCACAUGUGAUAGAUGACCAAGUGACUGCUUUCUUGGAGUCCGCACACCAGUGGAAGGCUCUCAAAGUGACUGUGACCGACUUGAUCAAACUCUAGGCUUCCUGAGCUGGAAUGAAAUGCAGAUAACUCUUUAGAAAACUUUUGUAGGAAAAGCGCCUCGUGUGAUCUGGAACAAAGACGUUUUAUAAUCAGAUUUAUCAAGCUGCGAAGAGGGAGUUUUAGUGAACGGAAGCAGCAGCAUUCUGUCACCAGGAAAUACUCCUUUAUCCAGAAUUGGUAAGUGAAAAGUGGCAUUGCUCCCUAAUAGAUAUCAUAUGUGUGUGUGGGAAUUGAAAAAUUGUUCACAGACCCCUAACAACUGUGUUGAACAGAGAACACAUAAACAGUGAGGAGUUCUAAAAAAGAGCAGCACAAGAAUACCGCAUAAAGACUGAGAAGAAGCCAGGUAAUUAACAAAAAUGAGCUGAGUGCUAUCAGUUUAGCUAAACAUAUGUAAUACAGCUAGAUUUGGUUGUUUUAUUUUUUCUUGUUAGUGGAGGAGAAACAUAAAAUCGGAAUGGGCUGUUUAGUAGAAUUGCGACAUUAACUUUCCAUGGAUGUAGAUUUCCAUUUAGUCUGAAUAGCAUGUAUGAAAUUUGAAGGGAUGCUUUCGGAAUUAGUCUUCUUGCCCUCCUUUCCUUUCCUCUGCAUUAAGAUGUCAAGUAUUUAGUUAGAACCUUACAAGAUGAAAGUUGUACAAAAUGAAAGUUCAAGUAAUGCGUUGGAAACACCUCCUCCUGAUUGGGAAGGGUAGAUUACAACGGCAAUAGAUUUUUGUUUUUUGUUUCUUACAUUUGUGUCACGAAUUUUAAGUUUAUUCUAUUUGAUUACAUUAGUACAGCAAAAGGGGGGUUAUUUCUAUCUAUAUGGUUCAUGACAUUUUGAGAGAUCGUGAUUAGUAGUUCUUACUGGUUUCGUAUGCAUGUUCCUGCCUGUUGAAUUCAGUUUUCUGAUCUUGAAUCUGAGCUGCCUUUACGUUAAAGGGUUCUAGAAAAAGACAAUAAAGCUUUGAAUACCUGUGUUAUAUACAACAGGUUCCUGUUCAUGAUGUAUAAGGUAACGCAAUUUUAUUUUAGGCAUGAAUGUCUAAUUUCUUGAUUUGGCUUCUUAAGAAUAUACCGAAAAGGUUGAAUAGAAUAAGAAAAAGAACAUUAGAAAAGAAUGGUGGGUGACUGCCUGAUUUUACUAGUUUCUUAUUGGUCAGUAGAAGUAAUCAUGUGAUGUCUACUUAUAGAAACAAAUGGAAAAAAUUUUUCUUCUUUAACUGCUAACAAUUAUAUAGGCAAUUUUAGCAAUCUUCAUUUAUUAAUUUGAAUAUAUAAUUAUAACUGUUAUUAACAGAAUAAGUUUUGGGUAAUAUAGGAAAUAAUUAUUUCUUUCUUUUUAAGCCAAAUUGGAAGUUGAAUCUACGUUUGGUUCCUAUUCUGUUACUUUCAAAAUCUUAAAAUCCUUAACUCAAAAGGGAAAAUGUAUAAUAAAACAGGAUAGCAGUGCUGAAAUUUCUCUCUCUUAGCAGUGGAGUGAGAUGAGGGUGGGGGAGGGAGAUGAAUCUAGUGAGAUAUAUUAAUUGUUUUUUCCCCCUCUUGUAUACUUGGAUAACUUUUGAGAUCAUUUUUCUCGGACUAGCAGCUCUCAAGACUU
Molecule: long non-coding RNA, 1756 nt
Filed under: Pongo abelii (Sumatran orangutan)
Lineage: Eukaryota; Metazoa; Chordata; Mammalia; Primates; Hominidae
Description: lincRNA
Source: RNAcentral